AUGAGGUACAUGGAGAUUGCCGUACCUUCCAUUGGUGUAUAUGCAAGCUACAGAGAAAACCAAAUAUGCACCAUGCCGAUAUGCUUCAUGACGAGUGUGCUUUUGUCAUCCCUCACCCUCUCAGUUGCUGACCAUGUGAUUAUGGUAGUCUACAAUUUGCUUAUGGGUUCUUCAUUGCUUGAUUUUUAUCUCGGACAAAAGAGGGCCAGCCACACCUUUGAAAUAAGCAGCGGUCAUCCAGUCCAGAACAGACUGAAUCUGCUCGACAAAGUGUGGAAAGGCAAUUACUGCUUGGCAAAGUGUAAAAAAGGCCAGGGUAUCAUUUAUGUAGUUAUUUGGAAUGCAAGAUCCAAGAAAUAA
This 360-nucleotide ribosomal RNA is filed under the name Triticum aestivum (bread wheat). RNAcentral describes it as "partial small subunit ribosomal RNA". The record is from RNAcentral. Lineage: Eukaryota; Viridiplantae; Streptophyta; Magnoliopsida; Poales; Poaceae.